GACGAACGCUGGCGGCGUGCUUAACACAUGCCAGUCGAACGGAAAGGCCCUGCUUUUGUGGGGUGCUCGAGUGGCGAACGGGUGAGUAACACGUGAGUAACCUGCCCUUGACUUUGGGAUAACUUCAGGAAACUGGGGCUAAUACCGGAUAGGAGCUCCUGCUGCAUGGUGGGGGUUGGAAAGUUUCGGCGGUUGGGGAUGGACUCGCGGCUUAUCAGCUUGUUGGUGGGGUAGUGGCUUACCAAGGCUUUGACGGGUAGCCGGCCUGAGAGGGUGACCGGGCAAAUUGGGACUGAGAUACGGCCCAGACUCCUACGGGAGGCAGCAGUGGGGAAUAUUGCACAAUGGGCGGAAGCCUGAUGCAGCAACGCCGCGUGCGGGAUGACGGCCUUCGGGUUGUAAACCGCUUUCGCCUGGGACGAAGCGUGAGUGACGGUAAUGGGUAAAGAAGCACCGGCUAACUACGUG
Molecule: ribosomal RNA, 468 nt
Filed under: uncultured bacterium
Lineage: Bacteria
Description: partial 16S ribosomal RNA
Rfam family: Bacterial small subunit ribosomal RNA
Source: RNAcentral